AGAUGUCAGGGCCAUCUGGCUGUGACCUCUGUCACCCCAUUGAUCACCAGGAUUGAUUUGGCUGACCUGGCUGGCUGGCGGGCAUCCCCUUCCUCCCUCACUGCUCCACGCGUGUGCCUCCGAGAGCUGUGUGCUCAGUUGAAGAGGAUGACCUUCCCCUCUUUGGUCAAGGGUGUAUGAGUAGCUCUGUGCUCCCCUCUAGCUGUGCUAGAACCUCCACAUGAGCGCUCAGGGUCCAUUUGUAGGAGAAUCCUAUGGACAGAGGAGCCUGAAGGGCUGCAGUCCAUGGGGUUGCAAAGAGUCAGACACAACUG
Molecule: small nuclear RNA, 314 nt
Filed under: Ovis aries (sheep)
Lineage: Eukaryota; Metazoa; Chordata; Mammalia; Artiodactyla; Bovidae
Description: 7SK RNA (ENSOARG00000024999.1)
Rfam family: 7SK RNA
About the family: 7SK was discovered as an abundant small nuclear RNA in the mid-70s but a possible function has only recently been suggested. Two independent studies have found that 7SK RNA binds the CDK9/cyclin T complex (known as elongation factor P-TEFb). P-TEFb activates transcription by phosphorylating the C-terminal domain of RNA polymerase II.
Source: RNAcentral